RNAcentral lists this long non-coding RNA (360 nucleotides) under Piliocolobus tephrosceles (Ugandan red Colobus). Its description in RNAcentral is "lncRNA (ENSPTEG00000016080.1)". Lineage: Eukaryota; Metazoa; Chordata; Mammalia; Primates; Cercopithecidae. The record is from RNAcentral.
GAUCUUCACCCAAGAGUAGCUGCAAUGUGAAUGGCAGGAUAUGAAGCAAGUAAAAGAUGGUGAAAAGAUUAUCUUAUGCUGGGAAUUAAGUGAUGAAAGGGACCUUGGAAAUUAUCAACUCUAAAUGCUUCUUUAGAGGGAAAUUGAAAGCAGUUAAGAAACUGCCCCCUGCUGUGCUGAGUUGGAGUUCUUGGUGCCUGGGUGCAUCCCCAAGGCCACUGGUCUUCAGAUCUUUCUUACUUGAGAAGAACGCCUCCACCUCCUGGCUCUCCCACCAGUGGUACUGCCACUACCACACACCAGCAUAAAGCACAGAUUGCUGCCCAGCUCCUUGGAGAGGGGCCAGUGCAUUUGUCAGGA